This 1972-nucleotide ribosomal RNA is filed under the name human gut metagenome. RNAcentral describes it as "bacterial LSU rRNA". It matches the Rfam family "Bacterial large subunit ribosomal RNA", at positions 1 to 1983 of the family's 2925-position model. The record is from RNAcentral.
AAAAGUAAGUAAGGGCACAUGGCGGAUGCCUUGGCUCUCGGAGGCGAUGAAGGACGUGAUAAGCUGCGAUAAGCCGCGGGUAGGUGCAAAUGACCUUUGAUCCGCGGAUUUCCGAAUGGGACAACCCGAUAUCCUGAAGGGAUAUCAUCCCGCAAUGCGGGAGGCUAACGCAGGGAACUGAAACAUCUUAGUACCUGCAGGAAAAGAAAAUAAAUAAUGAUUCCCCCAGUAGUGGCGAGCGAACGGGGAACAGCCCAAACCGUUGACGUCGCAAGGCGCCAGCGGGGUUGUAGGACCGCGACAUUGUAUGCAAAUCGUGAACAGAACACUUUGGAAAAUGUGACCAUAGACGGUGAUAGUCCAGUAUGUGAAGCGAAAUGCAGCAUAGCGGUAUCCUGAGUAACGCGGGACACGAGGAAUCCUGCGCGAAUCUGCCGGGACCAUCCGGUAAGGCUAAAUACUCCCGUGAGACCGAUAGCGAACGAGUACUGUGAAGGAAAGGUGAAAAGAACCCCGAGCAGGGGAGUGAAAUAGUUCCUGAAACCAUACGCCUACAAGCGGUCGGAGCAUCGCAAGAUGUGACGGCGUGCCUUUUGCAUAAUGAUCCUACGAGUUACCGUCACUGGCGAGGUUGAGUGUCACGAGACACGUAGCCGCAGUGAAAGCGAGCCUGAAUAGGGCGCACAGUCAGUGGGGGUAGACGCGAAACCAAGUGAUCUACACUUGGCCAGGAUGAAGUCCCGGUAACACGGGAUGGAGGUCCGCACCAAUAAGCGUUGAAAAGCUUCUGGAUGAGCCGAGUGUAGGAGUGAAAGGCCAAUCAAACUUGGAGAUAGCUCGUACUCCCCGAAAGGCAUUUAGGUGCCGCGUCGGAUGGUCACCGUGAGAGGUAGAGCGACCGAUAGGACAAGAGGGCUUCACCGCCUAUCGAGUCCUGACGAACUCCGAAUGCUCACGGUCUGCAGUCCGGCAGUAAGGGGGCGGGUGCUAAGGUCCGUCCCCGAGAGGAGAAGAAUCCAGACCGCCGUCUAAGGUCCCGGAGUUCUGCCUGAGUUAGUCUAACGAAGUCUGGUCCCUAUGACAGCUAGGAUGUUGGCUUGGAAGCAGCCAUUCAUUCAAAGAGUGCGUAACAGCUCACUAGUCGAGGGUCCGGGCAUGGAUAAUAAUCGGGUAUAAGGCAGACACCGAAGGCGCGGGAUAGCAUUUAAGAAAGUAUCGGUAGGGGAGCAUACUCACAGCGUCGAAUGGUGUACGUAAGUUAUCCUGGAGCGGUGAGUAAAGCAAAUGUAGGAAUAAGUAACGAUAAGGAGGGUUAGAUUCCCUCCCGCUGUAAGACCAAGGUUUCCCGGGCAAUGCCAAUCAGCCCGGGGUCAGUCGGGUCCUAAGUCUAAGCCGAACGGCGAUGGCGAUGGCAGAGACGGUUAAUAUUCCGUCACUGCCGCAUGGGGCGACGUGGAGACGGAGCAGUGAAACCACCGCGGGGCGACGGAAGUCCCCGUUGAAGAGUGUAGGUGUUGAGGAUGGCAGGCAAAUCCACCAUCCGAGCUGAACUUGAUAGUACGGAGUCCUCCUCGGAGGAAUCUGAUAGUGUGGGUAAUCAUACUCCCGAGAAAAUCCGCUAAGCUUAACCCAUGCGGCACCCGUACCGUAAACGGACACACGUGGUCGGGUAGAACAUACUAAGGCGUUGAGAGAUUCAUGGUUAAGGAACUAGGCAAAUUGACCCUGUAACUUCGGGAUAAAGGGUCCUCGUGAUGAGCGAGGCGCAGAGAAUAGGUCCAGGCAACUGUUUAACAAAAACACAGGGCUGUGCAAACUCGAAAGAUGACGUAUACAGCCUGACACCUGCCCGGUGCCGGAAGGUUAAGAGGAGAUGUCACUCGCAAGAGGAAGCAUUGAAUUGAAGCCCCGGUAAACGGCGGCCGUAACUAUAACGGUCCUAAGGUAGCGAAAUUCCUUGUCGGGUAAGUUC